This 380-nucleotide unclassified non-coding RNA is filed under the name soil metagenome. Its description in RNAcentral is "partial contains 5.8S ribosomal RNA, internal transcribed spacer 2, and large subunit ribosomal RNA". The stretch from base 1 to 120 matches the Rfam family "5.8S ribosomal RNA", at positions 35 to 154 of the family's 154-position model. The record is from RNAcentral.
GAUGAAGAACGCAGCGAAAUGCAAUAAGUAAUGUGAAUUGCAGAAUUCAGUGAAUCAUCGAAUCUUUGAACGCACCUUGCACCCUUUGGCAUUCUGAAGGGUAUGCUCGUUUGAGUGUCAUUGUACUCUCACACUCCCGAUCUUUGCAUUGGGAGCAGUGGACUUGGGUUUGCUGCUUCACCGUCGCUUACCUCAAAUAGGUUAGUGCAACUCUUGGUUGGACAUAGUACGGCGUGAUAAGUGUUCUUCGCCGGUGCCUCGCAAAGAGGGUGGCCGAUCGGGAUGUUGUGCUCCAAACCGUCUUCGGACAAUCUCUGACGACUUGACCUCAAAUCGAGUAAGACUACCCGCUGAACUUAAGCAUAUCAAUAAGCGGAGGA